RNAcentral lists this ribosomal RNA (433 nucleotides) under uncultured bacterium. RNAcentral's name for it is "partial 16S ribosomal RNA". It matches the Rfam family "Bacterial small subunit ribosomal RNA", at positions 29 to 507 of the family's 1533-position model. The record is from RNAcentral.
AACGAACGCUGGCGGCAUGCCUAACACAUGCAAGUCGAACGAGACCUUCGGGUCUAGUGGCGCACGGGUGCGUAACGCGUGGGAACCUGCCCUUAGGUUCGGAAUAACUCCCCGAAAGGGGUGCUAAUACCGGAUAAUGUCUUCGGACCAAAGAUUUAUCGCCUUUGGAUGGGCCCGAGUUGGAUUAGCUAGUUGGUAGGGUAAAAGCCUACCACGGCGACGAUCCAUAGCUGGUCUGAGAGGAUGAUCAGCCACACUGGGACUGAGACACGGCCCAGACUCCUACGGGAGGCAGCAGUGGGGAAUAUUGGACAAUGGGCGAAAGCCUGAUCCAGCAAUGCCGCGUGAGUGAUGAAGGCCUUAGGGUUGUAAAGCUCUUUUACCCGGGAUGAUAAUGACAGUACCGGGAGAAUAAGCACCGGCUAACUCCGUG